RNAcentral lists this ribosomal RNA (254 nucleotides) under uncultured bacterium. Its description in RNAcentral is "partial 16S ribosomal RNA". It matches the Rfam family "Bacterial small subunit ribosomal RNA", at positions 524 to 776 of the family's 1533-position model. The record is from RNAcentral.
UACGUAGGGUGCGAGCGUUGUCCGGAGUUAUUGGGCGUAAAGAGCUCGUAGGCGGUGUGUCACGUCGGCCGUGAAAACCUGCAGCUUAACUGUGGGCGUGCGGUCGAUACGGGCAUCACUGGAGUUCGGCAGGGGAGACUGGAAUUCCUGGUGUAGCGGUGAAAUGCGCAGAUAUCAGGAGGAACACCGGUGGCGAAGGCGGGUCUCUGGGCCGAUACUGACGCUGAGGAGCGAAAGCGUGGGGAGCAAACAGG